This 495-nucleotide ribosomal RNA is filed under the name uncultured bacterium. RNAcentral's name for it is "bacterial SSU rRNA". It matches the Rfam family "Bacterial small subunit ribosomal RNA", at positions 28 to 507 of the family's 1533-position model. The record is from RNAcentral.
GAUGAACGCUAGCGACAGGCUUAACACAUGCAAGUCGAGGGGCAACGGGGGUGAAAGCUUGCUUUCACCUGCCGGCGACCGGCGCACGGGUGAGUAACACGUAUGCAACCUGCCCUCCACUGGGGGAUAAGCGGAAGAAAUUCCGUCUAAUACCGCAUAACAACCCGAGGGACAUCCCCUUGGGUUUAAAGGAGCGAUCCGGUGGCGGAUGGGCAUGCGGCGCAUUAGCUAGUUGGCGGGGUAACGGCCCACCAAGGGCGACGAUGCGUAGGGGUUCUGAGAGGAAGGUCCCCCACACUGGUACUGAGACACGGACCAGACUCCUACGGGAGGCAGCAGUGAGGAAUAUUGGUCAAUGGGCGGGAGCCUGAACCAGCCAAGUCGCGUGAGGGAAGACGGUCCUAUGGAUUGUAAACCUCUUUUGUCGGGGAGCAAAGAGGCCUCGUGAGGUCAAAAGUGAAAGUACCCGAAGAAAAAGCAUCGGCUAACUCCGUG